Molecule: ribosomal RNA, 253 nt
Filed under: uncultured bacterium
Lineage: Bacteria
Description: partial 16S ribosomal RNA
Rfam family: Bacterial small subunit ribosomal RNA
Source: RNAcentral
GACGUAGGGCGCAAGCGUUGUCCGGAUUUAUUGGGCGUAAAGAGCUCGUAGGCGGCUCGUUGCGUCGGCUGUGAAAACCCGCAGCUCAACUGUGGGCUUGCAGCUGAUACGGGCAGGCUUGAGUUCGGUAGGGGAGACUGGAAUUCCUGGUGUAGCGGUGGAAUGCGCAGAUAUCAGGAGGAACACCGGUGGCGAAGGCGGCUAUCUGGACAGAAACUGACGCUGAGGCGCGAAAGCUAGGGGAGCAAACAGG